AAAAGAAAUUGUCCUUGAAGCUUGUAUCUGAUAUCAGCACUUGAUUGUAGAACUUGUUGCUGAUUUUGACCUUGUAUUCAAGUUAACUUUUACCCCUUGGUAUUUGUAGAAUGCCUAUACAUAUCUUUGAUUUCUUAGUACAAGUGGCUUGGUCACUUUGUGGCUGUUGUAAGAACGUGCUUGUGGAAGACAAGUCUGUGGCUUGGUGAGUCUGUGUGGCCAGCAGUAUCCGAUCUGUGCAGG
This 243-nucleotide long non-coding RNA is filed under the name Homo sapiens (human). RNAcentral describes it as "long non-coding RNA NONHSAT245369". The record is from RNAcentral. Lineage: Eukaryota; Metazoa; Chordata; Mammalia; Primates; Hominidae.